GGAAGUUUGAGAUACUCCCAUGUAACAAUAGGGUUUCUGUGAUAUUUAGUUGUGCCCUUUGGGGGAAUGAGAGAUUCCUUUGAGAGAAUGUAUGUAGCAGGCCACUCCUCCUUCCAUCCCCAAUGGGCUUUGGGAUAGGUAUAAAAACACCACCACCCCCUUCUGCAUCAGGACCAGUUGAAGUGCAAUAUCGACACCUUUACGGUACAAUUCAGGAUCCAGACUCUAACCUCAAGGCAUGUUGACCAGGAAUUUUCUCAUCCUCUGCUCUCUGGCAGCUGUGCUAGUACAAGCUGACCUUGAUACUAAUAGCAAUCGUGCUUCCCAAGCCAUUUCCACAGAUAAGGACUCAACCUCGGAUGAAGCACCAACUGAGAGCAUGAAUGCCAUCUCCUCGGACCAGUCUAACCAUGUAAGCCGCACAAGUGUAGAAGUUGGACAAGAUGCUUCUAAACCGAACGGGGUGACUGGACCUGGUGGCACGGCAAACAGUGUUGAGGACCGUGAAGAGAAUGAGAGCUCCGAUGAAGGUGUGAGAAAAAGAAUCGUUCCUCCACCUCCUCCUCCUGCUGCUCCACAACAAAGGUCACGGAAGUUAGUUGGGCCAGCAGGUGGUAACCGAAGAAAGGCAGCAGCACCAAAACAGAAGAGGAGAUCACGGCCCUCUCGUCAUCAAUCCUGAAACGCCACAAAGACACACAAAGGCAAACAUUUAAUUUUAGUGAUUACGUAGAAAAAACCCAUGUUGUAUCUUAUUACUGUCUAUGCCAUAACAUGGACGUGUACAGAACCGUACGCACAUGAUGAAACUGUUUUGCUGUAUCUUGGGCUGUAAAACAAAGUCAGCAUGACAUGGCAUAUUGUUUACUUUAACACCUGUGGAACAACUCAGUGGUAGGUUCAACACAAACUCAUGGGCCUUUCUCUGUGAAUAAAAUAUACCAUUGCAUUUACCAUUUAAUGUGAUGACAUGACAACAGGCCCAAAAACACCAGUCUGAGACCAGUUCACGCAUCCAUUAAAAUCCAGGAUGAGGCAUGCUUUUUGCAGCAUCAUGACUUGACACUGACCUUAAGAGCCAAUGAAACUGCUCUAAAUUCACCAACCUGUUUCAAAAUGGAAAGGAUUUCACUCCCAUGAAAAUAAACUAAGCAACAACAAAAACAUCCUCUCACUGUCAACUGCGUUUAUUUUCAGCAAACUUAACAUGUGUAAAUAUUUGUAUGAACAUAACAAGAUUCAACAACUGAGACAUAAACUGAACAAGUUCCACAGACAUGUGACUAACAGAAAUGGAAUAAUGUGUCCUUGAACAAACGGGGGUCAAAAUCAAAAGUAACAGUCAGUAUCUGGUGUGGCCACCAGCUGCAUUAAGUACUGCGGUG
This 1385-nucleotide long non-coding RNA is filed under the name Salmo salar (Atlantic salmon). RNAcentral's name for it is "lncRNA (ENSSSAG00000009599.2)". Lineage: Eukaryota; Metazoa; Chordata; Actinopteri; Salmoniformes; Salmonidae. The record is from RNAcentral.